UACAGAGGGUGCAAGCGUUAAUCGGAUUUACUGGGCGUAAAGCGUAUGUAGGUGGUUUGCUAAGUCAGGUGUGAAAUCCCUGGGCUCAACCUAGGAAUUGCAUUUGAUACUGGUAAGCUUGAGUGCGGUAGAGGGUAGUGGAACUCCCGGUGUAGCGGUGAAAUGCGUAGAUAUCGGGAAGAACACCAGUGGCGAAGGCGGCUACCUGGACUGACACUGACACUGAGAUACGAAAGCGUGGGGAGCAAACAGG
RNAcentral lists this ribosomal RNA (253 nucleotides) under uncultured bacterium. RNAcentral describes it as "partial 16S ribosomal RNA". It matches the Rfam family "Bacterial small subunit ribosomal RNA", at positions 524 to 776 of the family's 1533-position model. The record is from RNAcentral.